GAAUAUAUAUUAAUAAAGGUAGCAAUGGAUAAGCGAGUCCGGAGCUAACAUUUAGCCAUGAUUAUAACACUGAUUAACUCUUAUCCCCAUCUAGGUUAAAAUUGUUUAAUGCCAGUGAACUUAACCAGGCUUCUUUUCUGAUGGAAAUCAUGGGAUUGAUGUUGAUGAUUUGAGGAAUAAUACACCGUACAUGGUGUUGAUCAAACUCUUAUCGAAGAUUAUGAAGAUGUACCAAGUACCAACAUCCAUCGGCAUUUGAAAAGGAUCCGAUGGCCAAAGAGUCGUGUUUUAGAUGAAAGGAGUUUUGUUCGGCGAGGUUUUCUACUUUUGUAAUUAUUGGGUGAAUAACAAGCUUUCAUAUCAUAAAUAUUUUUGAGAUAUUAAUUGUGCUUUAUAUAUAGAUAUAAAAGUUGGACGUAAUUGUA
Long non-coding RNA from Erigeron canadensis, 425 nucleotides. RefSeq lists it as uncharacterized. Lineage: Eukaryota; Viridiplantae; Streptophyta; Magnoliopsida; Asterales; Asteraceae. The record is from RefSeq and is a predicted model, not a curated record. The transcript has 3 exons.